RNAcentral lists this transfer RNA (81 nucleotides) under Methylorubrum aminovorans. RNAcentral describes it as "tRNA-Ala". Lineage: Bacteria; Pseudomonadati; Pseudomonadota; Alphaproteobacteria; Hyphomicrobiales; Methylobacteriaceae. The record is from RNAcentral.
CGCCGAGUAGGGGGCGGGUUCCGCUUCUUCGCGAGGGGCAGGGCAACCUGACGGCAGCCGGUUCUGAACCGGCUGCGGCGU